RNAcentral lists this ribosomal RNA (197 nucleotides) under uncultured bacterium. RNAcentral's name for it is "partial 16S ribosomal RNA". It matches the Rfam family "Bacterial small subunit ribosomal RNA", at positions 335 to 524 of the family's 1533-position model. The record is from RNAcentral.
ACUCCUACGGGAGGCAGCAGUAGGGAAUCUUCCGCAAUGGACGAAAGUCUGACGGAGCAACGCCGCGUGAACGAAGAAGGCCUUCGGGUCGUAAAGUUCUGUUGUUAGGGAAGAACAAGUACCAGAGUAACUGCUGGUACCUUGACGGUACCUAACCAGAAAGCCACGGCUAACUACGUGCCAGCAGCCGCGGUAAU